This 395-nucleotide ribosomal RNA is filed under the name uncultured bacterium. Its description in RNAcentral is "bacterial SSU rRNA". It matches the Rfam family "Bacterial small subunit ribosomal RNA", at positions 361 to 773 of the family's 1533-position model. The record is from RNAcentral.
AUAUUGCGCAAUGGGGGGAACCCUGACGCAGCAACGCCGCGUGAAGGAAGAAGGUUUUCGGAUCGUAAACUUCUUUAAGUGUGGAAGAUAAUGACGGUACACACAGAAUAAGCCACGGCUAACUACGUGCCAGCAGCCGCGGUAAUACGUAGGGGGCAAGCGUUAUCCGGAUUUACUGGGUGUAAAGGGAGCGUAGACGGCAAAGCAAGUCUGAAGUGAAAGCCCGGGGCUCAACCCCGGGACUGCUUUGGAAACUGUUCUGCUAGAGUGCUGGAGAGGUAAGCGGAAUUCCUAGUGUAGCGGUGAAAUGCGUAGAUAUUAGGAGGAACACCAGUGGCGAAGGCGGCUUACUGGACAGUAACUGACGUUGAGGCUCGAAAGCGUGGGGAGCAAAC